RNAcentral lists this ribosomal RNA (492 nucleotides) under uncultured bacterium. Its description in RNAcentral is "partial 16S ribosomal RNA". It matches the Rfam family "Bacterial small subunit ribosomal RNA", at positions 29 to 507 of the family's 1533-position model. The record is from RNAcentral.
AGUGAACGCUGGCGGUAGGCCUAACACAUGCAAGUCGAACGGCAGCACCGUAAGAGCUUGCUCUUACGGGUGGCGAGUGGCGGACGGGUGAGGAAUACAUCGGAAUCUACUUUUUCGUGGGGGAUAACGUAGGUAAACUUACGCUAAUACCGCAUACGACCUACGGGUGAAAGCAGGGGAUCUUCGGACCUUGCGCGAUUGAAUGAGCCGCUGUCGGAUUAGCUGGUUGGCGGGGUAAAGGCCCACCAAGGCGACGAUCCGUAGCUGGUCUGAGAGGAUGGUCAGCCACACUGGAACUGAGACACGGUCCAGACUCCUACGGGAGGCAGCAGUGGGGAAUAGUGGACAAUGGGCGCAAGCCUGAUCCAGCCAUACCGCGUGGGUGAAGAAGGCCUUCGGGUUGUAAAGCCCUUUUGUUGGGAAAGAAAAGCAGCAGGUUAAUACCCCGCUGUUCUGACGGUACCCAAAGAAGAAGCACCGGCUAACUUCGUG